UUGUUCUCAAACUGGCUGUCAGAGUGUGCAUGGCAGGCUGCAGCCACUUGGGGAACUGGU
Homo sapiens (human) is the source of this 60-nucleotide microRNA precursor. The record is from Ensembl. NCBI's taxonomy places the organism in Eukaryota, Metazoa, Chordata, Mammalia, Primates, Hominidae.